RNAcentral lists this transfer-messenger RNA (401 nucleotides) under bovine gut metagenome. It matches the Rfam family "transfer-messenger RNA". Rfam says of the family: Bacterial tmRNA, also known as 10Sa RNA or SsrA, is named for its dual tRNA and mRNA-like properties. Its role is to liberate the mRNA from a stalled ribosome. The record is from RNAcentral.
GGGGCUGACUGGAUUUGACAGCAGGAUGAGGUGUUGUGUAAGCACGCAGAGAGUUGGCGACCGCUCUCUCUAAUCAAUGAUUGCCAAGAAUUUAUCUGGCGAAAACAACUACGCUCUCGCUGCCUAAUCGAAGUACAGUAGAUUUCUGGCUUUAUCUCGGCACCAGGUGCUGAGACGAGAUGUCACUCUGGAGCUGUUGCUCCGAAGCGUCCAGGCAAAGUGGCACAGCAAAAUCGGGGAUAGCCUGUAACUGCCUCGCGUUAUGGGUGAAACUUAGAGGAUAAGGUGCAGAUUGGUGGCCCAGGUCUUGUCUGCACUCGAAAACCGAAGGCUGGGAUAAGCGUGUAGAAAGCACAGGACGUCCCUGUUUGGACGAGGGUUCAAUCCCCUCCAGCUCCACU